AAUAUGAUAGCAGAAUACACAUGUGAAAUGUUUUGAGGUUAUACAUAAUUGAAUUAAGAAAUAUUAAUAAUUUUAGAAUUUUCUCGUGAAAUGUAGCUAUUGUAAACAAACCUGUUUAAAUAAAAAAGCUGCCCAACAUUUAUGUAUUCGAGAAUUUGACGAAUUUUUUGUUGAUCCAGAUACAUAUGAAUUUUGGGCAUACGAUGGUAAUAAAAUUGUUUCUGAAUUAUCUGACGAGCAUUUUGCUCAAUUAGAAAAUAUUGCUAAUAAGGAAAAUGCCAGUAUUAAUAUCAACCAAAGUAUCUCCAAUAAAAAAGUAAAAACAUCCAAAAAAACCAAGGCUCCUCUUAAUGUUGUUCAAUUAAAACUUGACCAAGAAGAGCAACUGAUUUUUGAAGUUAUGAACAGGAUACUUCUGUGGGAUUUUACAAUCCCAUUAAAAGGAGCAAAAUCAUAAAAACCAAACUAUGGUUAGAAGUAUCUGACUCACUUAAAGGUGCUUUUACCCCAGAUGGUGCUAAAAAAAAGUUUAAGGCAUUAACUGACACAUUUAGAAAAAUCAUUCGGGAUGAGCAAUGUCCAAGUGGUUCCGCUCGCAAAAAUAAUGGCAAUAAAUGGGCUCAUUACGAUUCCAUGCAAUUUUUGAGAGAUCAUUUCACUCCAAGAGAAUCUGCAACAAAUUGCGAAUCUGAGGAAAAUGAUUCUGAUGACAUUAAUUUAUCUAGUUAUGAAGUUGAUAAUGACAGUGUA
Nylanderia fulva is the source of this 750-nucleotide non-coding RNA. Lineage: Eukaryota; Metazoa; Arthropoda; Insecta; Hymenoptera; Formicidae. The record is from RefSeq and is a predicted model, not a curated record.